AAAAAUGACUCUCGGCAACGGAUAUCUCGGCUCUUGCAUCGAUGAAGAACGUAGCGAAAUGCGAUACUUGGUGUGAAUUGCAGAAUCCCGUGAACCAUCGAGUCUUUGAACGCAAGUUGCGCCCAAAGCCAUUUGGUUGAGGGCAUGCCUGCCUGGGUGUCGUG
This 164-nucleotide ribosomal RNA is filed under the name Memecylon sp. 1 RDS-2013. RNAcentral's name for it is "5.8S ribosomal RNA". It matches the Rfam family "5.8S ribosomal RNA". Rfam says of the family: 5.8S ribosomal RNA (5.8S rRNA) is a component of the large subunit of the eukaryotic ribosome. It is transcribed by RNA polymerase I as part of the 45S precursor that also contains 18S and 28S rRNA. Functionally, it is thought that 5.8S rRNA may be involved in ribosome translocation. Lineage: Eukaryota; Viridiplantae; Streptophyta; Magnoliopsida; Myrtales; Melastomataceae. The record is from RNAcentral.